Long non-coding RNA from Homo sapiens (human), 3209 nucleotides. RefSeq annotates it as TPM1 antisense RNA. The record is from RefSeq and is marked validated. The transcript has 2 exons. Lineage: Eukaryota; Metazoa; Chordata; Mammalia; Primates; Hominidae.
AACUUUUUCCAAGACUUGGUAACAAAGCAUUAUCUAUCUGUAUGAGAGAAAAGGGGAGGAGGACUGCUGAAAAAAGGGACGGGUUAAGGGUUUUGCACUAUAGUUUAGCUCUUCCAGCAGAACGCGGCGCUGUCAAGCUGUCAAUGUCUGUCUACCGCCUCGGAGACACAGGCCGCCGGGAAACCACAGGGUCGACGGGAACGGCGGAGUGUAGCAUCCCCGGGCCCCAAGUCCACAGUGCCUCUCCCACUUGACCUGUCGGCGCCCCUUCUCAAAGUACGGAUCUCCAAGAGGAAGGACCUCCUCCCUCUCCACUCUCAGAGUAAAGCAAGCCAGCAGCGCAAAGUGCACCUCCCGGGGACGCACAGACACGACUGAAAGCCACCACCCCAGAAACAGACCCUUCCUGGGAAAAUGCUCCUUCCAGAACCUUCUCAACACCACCCGUUUCCCCUGGGAGCGUUUACUUUGGAUCAGCGAGAUGGAAAACAAAGGCUCAGGAGAACAGGCCGGGCCCCUCCCCAGAGCCCGCCGCCAGCUGGCCCAGCUUCCUCUCGUGGUCCAGCUCGCGCUGCAGGGUGCCCGCGCGCUCCUCAGCGGCGUCCGCCUGCUCCUGCAGGCUCCGGAUCUUCCUGCGCACCGCCUCCAGCGAGCUACUCCCCGCCAUCGCGCCGGACGGUAGGCGGGCGGGAGGGCUGCAGUGGGAGAGGCCGGCUGCUGCCCUGCGGACCCGGCUGCCGCGGCUGUCCUGGCUGCCCAGCGCCGGUCCGCCCCGCCCAGGCCUCUCUGUGCGAUGGCGGCGCCCCCUGCGGCCAGGAGCAGUCCGGAAGUCGCAGCCUCCAGGGCUGCGCAGACAAACCGCAGGCGGGCGCGCGCGGCUGGGAGGGGCGCGCGCCGUGGAUCCCGGGACUGGCUGGGGGCACUGCGCAUGCUCGCGGCGGCGGGGAGAAAGGCGCUCCCGGCGCGCUGCGGGGGUACCUGGUGAGCUGGGCGCUCCGGGAGGCCACUGCACUAGGGCUCUGGCUUCCACUUCUAGGGCCCCUCCGCGGCGCGGUGGUGACCCGGGGUAACGGAGCUGGCUGCUAAGGGCAAUAGCGACUCCUGCUGGCCGCGGGAGCGCUCCGCUCCCGAGUCCAGAUUCCCAUGCCCGGGAGCCAGAGAAGCUGAGCGGCGGGUCUGGAGCCGGAAUAUGCCCUAAAGGGCCUGAUCCCAACCGCAAGAUUAUAACCCAAGCACUACCCCCAUUCCCCAAAACUUCACGAAGUGAAAACCACCCGCGUGUAGAGCACAGUGGUUAGACCUCCUGUUCUAAAUGCAGUUUUCCUAGGUUGACUCUGGCUCCUAGUUUCCUGCUGCGUGACUUCGGACACAUUACCUGUCUUCUCUGGGCGUCAUCUGUAAAAGUGGGAAUAAUAAUAGUACUUUCCCCAUGGGGCUGCUAUGAGAAUUAUGAAGGACUGUAAAGCGCUUAGCACAAUACCUUGUACAUAGUUAAAAACUCAAAUGAUAGCUACGAUUAAGAAAUACACAAGCAUUGUUUUAAGAGUCAGGCUGAGGCCCAUAAUCAGCUGUGUAAUCUCAGGCCAGCCUCCCUGGGGCUCACUUUCCAUGAAAACAGUCAUCCAAAUGGUCUCUUCUCUUUACAGCCUUCUUUGGUGUCAGACCAGCCUCUGAGAUCUCCUGGAAUCCAGUCAGUCCUGGGCUGGACUGGGAUGCCUUUAAAAGGCACCCCAAGGAAAGCCACAGAACCCUAUGAGAGAGCCUCUGGCUACAGGUGGAGAAAACCACCGCAGAUACAGUCUCCACCGAUUUCCCCCUUGAGCUGUAUUCUUAAAUGCCUUCUAAGUCUCAGGGCUUUUUCUCCUCAGGUUUGUCACAGAAAGCUCUUAAAGCCAGCUCCCUUAUGUGUGGGAAUAAUAAAGAAAACAUGCUUGACAACCCUCUCCUCCUCCAAGCCCUAACAAGGAACUUUUGCUUUCCUGCCUCAUUUUCUGUGGAGUUCCUCACAGCCUCUGCUGAGACUCUCACAAAUCCCAGCUUGGGUCCUUGCAUCCUGUAGGUGGGAGCUUCUCGCUUUGUUUCCCCGCGGUUCAUCUGGUCAGGUGGGGAGGUUACAGCUGGUCCCCUAAGUGCAGAGACUGUGGGCCUCCAACAUUGAGAAUGGGGGAACCGGGUGUCUGGCAACCUCCAGGAGCAGCCAGGAAACUGCUGGACACUGGCAAGUGCCAUAAGCAGCCAACUAGUGACUUAAUGUCCUGGGAAGGUCAGUUUCAGGUGAGUUCAUUUUCAUGCCGAUGUCAUUAUACAAGAGUUUAGGAGAGUUUUCUCAUCCUUGUCUGUAGGUUGGAAUCACUUGGGUAUUUUUUAAAUGCUGCCGCCUGGGUUGCAUCCCCAGGGAUUCUGAUUUAACUGGCUUUGGGUGCAUCCUAACUUUGGGUUUUAAAAGCUCCCUAAGUGAUUAUGUUUAGAGAAGGUUGAGAAUCCCUAAGUUAAGAAGUAAAGACCUACAAAGGGAUAAAGACUCAUAUGCUAUAAAUAUCAGAUAUAUCACAGUUACUGGGGAAGAGAUUGGGGGCCAGAAAAAAAUGGAGUCUUCGAUCCCCUUCAGCCUCACUUUUGACUUAGGUGGAAAGACAACACAAAAUUCGAAACAAGACCAUCAGGGAUACUACUCCUGAAUGACAAUCUUCUAAGCUAGGUAGAGCCCACUUCCAGAAUAGGAUUUGUAAAGUAGUAGAAAAAUGUUUUUAGUAAUAAUAGUAGAAAAAUGUAAAAGUGUUUUACACUGGUGAAUAAUGACAAUGAAAUGUCCUAAUCCCAAAGGUAAUACGAUUCCACCUCAGGAAGCUGACUUCUCCCUUACCGGACUUCUCCCUUUUUCUAGUGACAUCUGUCUCUUCCUCCUCAAGUUUUGACUAUUUUUUAGUAAAUAAAAAACGAAUACUCUCAAUAUGGUCAUGCACUGCAUAAUGAUGUUUUGGUCAAUGAGGGGCUGCAUAUAUGAGAGUAGCCUCAUAAGAUUACAAUAGAACUAAAAAAUUCCUAUCGCCUGGUGAUUUGUGUUACAAUUGUUGACAGUAUUCAGUACAGUAACACACUGUACAAGUUUGUAGCCUAGGUGUUUAGUAGGCUAUACCCUCUAGGUUUGUGUAAGUACCAUACACUCUAUGGUGUUUGCACAAUGAAUAAAUCACCUAACGACACAUGUC